CAACCCUGCAGCCCAUCAGCAUCUCUGCUCAGGGAAUCGAGAUCUGCAGCAUCUAAUGGUUUGCCCAUCAUCCAAGGAGCCCAGGAAUUAAGUUUCACAACCCUCUUUACAGACAGAGAAAUGGAGGCUGCGAGAGGCGGAAGUGACUUACUUAAGGUCACACAGCGAGUCAAGGCAGAGGCUAGGAAGAGAACCCAGGAAUCCUAGUCCCCAGUCCCUUCACUAGCAGACAGCUCUUAUAACAUUGCGCCGUGACAGAUGGGAAGAUUCCACCCUACUCGGUUACUCACCUGCGCAGGUGCCUCAACACGGGCCUUUCCUAACAGCCUCACUCAUCAGAAAGAUACAGCUAACCCAGCUUACAACCAUCUCAGACCAAGUGGAGCCCCAUUUAUUCUGACCAAAGCUAAGCCACUUCCCCUCUCUGUGCCUCCAUUUCCCCCCAUCUGCGAAAUGGGAACAAUACUCUUCGAUCGCUGUAAGGCGCUUUGAACUCUGUGGAGGAAAAGCAACUAUGUUACAGGCCUCUAGUUAGAGGGACACCUCUGCAGACACUAACAAACGGCUUCUCAACAGUGAUCGGGACCAGAAAAGGACCGAAGCUAAACAUAUGCCUGCCUGAAGAUUUUGUACCUGCUAUUUUUUUUUAAACAAGCCAGACUUAAGAUCACGGUAAGGCCCUAGGAAGGAGAAGACAUACUAAAGGAAACUCUCACAGACUUCACAUUUAAAGGUAAUUCUUGUGAAGUUGGAUUAUGAAGAGACUCCCUGCUUAAAGAACUACCUUGAAAUUCCAGUAUGGACAGGCCAAACAGCAGCAACGCAAAUCAAGAUCCUCCUGCGUCAGGGUUUCAGCCAGACACCUGCCAGUGGCAGGAAAGGAUUCCCCCCGCCCCCUACGAUAUACUCUGGGAGGAUUUCUUUGUCAUGUCCUUUCUCUGAAGCAUCUGGAGAUGGCAACGGCUGGAGAUGGGACAUUGUACGCCUAUCCUAGACUCUGACUUCCUGGUGUCCGAGCUGGCCUGAUUCCUGCUUUGACCAGACGACCCAUGUCCUGCUCGUGACAGCGUCUUCCAAACGAUUUUUCUUAGUAUUCGAGCAAGUUUUGAUUCCUGGGGGAAGACAUAAUUUAUGCAAGAUUCACUGUAGAGGCAGCUGUGUGAACAGCACAGGAGAGUAUUCUGGAGUCAGAGUUGCUCCCUGGGACCCUGGCAUUGGUGUUGGCCUGAGAGACCAGGCAGAAGUGAUGUCUCUGCAUGCUGUUUGACCAUCUCUAUCCCAGGACUUUUGCGUGUGCGUGAUCAAAUACACAAAUUCUUCUUCUAA
Caretta caretta (loggerhead turtle) is the source of this 1326-nucleotide long non-coding RNA. RefSeq lists it as uncharacterized. The record is from RefSeq and is a predicted model, not a curated record. NCBI's taxonomy places the organism in Eukaryota, Metazoa, Chordata, Testudines, Cheloniidae.